AAGCUCGAUGAGCGACGGCGGAAUUCUGCAACUGCGUACUGUCCCGACAAUGAACUCUCGUCCCUCUUGAUCUGCGGAAGAAGAGGUCCCUUUCGGAGGGAAGUGGAUCAAUCUUCUUUAUCUUGUGAACCCCGUCAGGUCCGGAAGGAAGCAGCGGUAGUAGGAACGUUGGAUGCUUGAGGGGUAGCGGGGAGGAGAAAGGCUGUACUGCAAGUACAGGAGGAAACCCCCAUCAUCGAGCAUGUCUUUUC
Molecule: signal recognition particle RNA, 251 nt
Filed under: Theionarchaea archaeon
Lineage: Archaea; Methanobacteriati; Methanobacteriota; Theionarchaea
Description: Archaeal signal recognition particle RNA
Rfam family: Archaeal signal recognition particle RNA
Source: Rfam by way of RNAcentral